RNAcentral lists this ribosomal RNA (227 nucleotides) under uncultured bacterium. RNAcentral's name for it is "partial 16S ribosomal RNA". It matches the Rfam family "Bacterial small subunit ribosomal RNA", at positions 109 to 334 of the family's 1533-position model. The record is from RNAcentral.
AGUAACGCGUGAGGAACCUGCCUCAAAGAGGGGGACGACAGUUGGAAACGACUGCUAAUACCGCAUAAGCCCACAGCUCGGCAUCGAGCAGAGGGAAAAGGAGUGAUCCGCUUUGAGAUGGCCUCGCGUCCGAUUAGCUAGUUGGUGAGGUAAUGGCCCACCAAGGCGACGAUCGGUAGCCGGACUGGGAGGUUGAACGGCCACAUUGGGACUGAGACACGGCCCAG